Molecule: non-coding RNA, 559 nt
Organism: Nicotiana tabacum (common tobacco)
Lineage: Eukaryota; Viridiplantae; Streptophyta; Magnoliopsida; Solanales; Solanaceae
Source: RefSeq, a predicted model, not a curated record
UUUAGCGUUUACCUCUAAUUCUUUCUUCCUUUUUCUUUUUCUUUGUCCUUCUCUCAUUUCACGCAAUUUCCUUUUUCCUCCUGUAAUUUCUCCCUUUCAAGUAAAAGAAAAAUGGUAAAUUAGAGAAACAUAAAGUAUUUAUAUUAAACAUCAACACACUCAUAGACAACAAUGAUAUCAACUUUUUUGCAGCCAAUAAAGUACGUGGUCUUAGGCCGCACGCAAAUGGCAGGAUGUACAAGCGCGAAUCUAGUUGUCGUCGAGCUGUUGUAAUUUGGUUAUCAGGGAGCAACAUACAUGGCCCAUGUCACAAUAACUCAGGCGCGCAUUUGCUCUUACUUUUUGCCUUGGAUUCUGGGGGUUCCCUUUCUCACAUAGAACGAUCACUUUCCUUUCACAAUGCUUUCCUGAAGUUGUUCACGAAUCAAAGUGAAAAUAUCCUUUAAAGUGUCGCAUUCUCUUUUUUAUCUGAAGCAAUUUAUAUCAGAUUAAGAUUUGCCAAAUGCUCUGAGAUUAUGCAAUUAAUCUGAAUAAGUCAUAACCCCAUUCUCUUCUCAAA